UACGAGGGUCGAGCGUUAAUCGGAAUUACUGGGCGUAAAGCGCGCGUAGGUGGAUUGGUCAGUCAGAUGUGAAAGCCCAGGGCUCAACCUUGGAACUGCAUCUGAUACUGCUAGUCUAGAAUACGAUAGAGGGUAGUGGAAUUUCCUGUGUAGCGGUGAAAUGCGUAGAUAUAGGAAGGAACACCAGUGGCGAAGGCGAC
RNAcentral lists this ribosomal RNA (200 nucleotides) under uncultured bacterium. RNAcentral's name for it is "partial 16S ribosomal RNA". It matches the Rfam family "Bacterial small subunit ribosomal RNA", at positions 524 to 725 of the family's 1533-position model. The record is from RNAcentral.